GUUCCUCCCCCGGGAGCACAUUAUUGACACGUUUGUAGUGGAGAGCCCCAACGGUAAACUGACUGAUUUCCUGAGCUUCUAUACGCUCCCCUCCACGGUGAUGCACCACCCUGCUCACAAGAGCCUCAAAGCUGCCUACUCAUUCUACAACAUCCACACAGAGACGCCCCUGCUGGACCUCAUGAGCGACGCGCUCAUCCUGGCUAAGUCGAAAGGAUUUGAUGUAUUCAAUGCACUGGAUUUGAUGGAAAAUAAGACAUUCUUGGAAAAACUCAAGUUUGGUAUAGGAGAUGGCAAUUUGCAGUAUUACCUGUACAAUUGGAGGUGUCCAGGUACAGAUUCUGAAAAGAAAGUUUGUUGACCUUGGUCACUACGAAGGAGUUGAACUCUCUCUCCUUUCUAUAGGUUGCCAUGAUUCUAAAGACCAACCCACAGCUGUGACAUCCCUGAGACUACCACCAGAGGGCGACCGGGCCCCACAGUAGUGCAUAAUUAGGCCCUUUCUUGGAGAUAAUGGAAGACUUGGAAUUUCAGAUGGUUCCACCCUAAUUGCAUUAGCGUUCUUUCUUAACAGGAGAAAGGCUUCAAGAAACAAAACAGUCCUCAUUCACUGGAACAGGGUUUGAGAUACCAGCAUUAAGGAAAGGAGAUUUUGACUUAACCUGGAGUCAAGGCUC
RNAcentral lists this small RNA (677 nucleotides) under Pongo abelii (Sumatran orangutan). Its description in RNAcentral is "processed transcript". Lineage: Eukaryota; Metazoa; Chordata; Mammalia; Primates; Hominidae. The record is from RNAcentral.